AAAUAAGGUACUGAACAAGAUUGC
This 24-nucleotide microRNA is filed under the name Zea mays. RNAcentral's name for it is "microRNA miR-3244". The record is from RNAcentral. Lineage: Eukaryota; Viridiplantae; Streptophyta; Magnoliopsida; Poales; Poaceae.